CCUACGGGGCGCAGCAGUGAGGAAUAUUGGUCAGUGGCCGGAAGGCUGAACCAGCCAAGUCGCGUGAGGGACGACUGCCCUAUGGGUUGUAAACCUCUUUUAUAAGGGAAGAGUAAAUGCUACGUGUAGCAUGAUGCCUGUACCUUAUGAAUAAGCAUCGGCUAACUCCGUGCCAGCAGCCGCGGUAAUACGGAGGAUGCGAGCGUUAUCCGGAUUUAUUGGGUUUAAAGGGUGCGUAGGCGGUCUGUUAAGUCAGCGGUAAAAUUGCGGGGCUCAACCCCGUCGAGCCGUUGAAACUGGCAGAC
This 305-nucleotide ribosomal RNA is filed under the name uncultured bacterium. RNAcentral describes it as "bacterial SSU rRNA". It matches the Rfam family "Bacterial small subunit ribosomal RNA", at positions 338 to 641 of the family's 1533-position model. The record is from RNAcentral.